GACGAACGCUGGCGGCGUGCCUAAUACAUGCAAGUAGAACGCUGAAGGAGGAGCUUGCUUCUCUGGAUGAGUUGCGAACGGGUGAGUAACGCGUAGGUAACCUGCCUGGUAGCGGGGGAUAACUAUUGGAAACGAUAGCUAAUACCGCAUAAUAGCAGUUGUUGCAUGAUAACUGUUUGAAAGGUGCAAUUGCACCACUACCAGAUGGACCUGCGUUAUAUUAGCUAGUUGGUGGGGUAACGGCUCACCAAGGCGACGAUACAUAGCCGACCUGGGAGGGGGAUCGGCCACACUGGGACUGAGACACGGCCCAGACUCCUACGGGAGGCAGCAGUAGGGAAUCUUCGGCAAUGGACGGAAGUCUGACCGAGCAACGCCGCGUGAGUGAAGAAGGUUUUCGGAUCGUAAAGCUCUGUUGUAAGAGAAGAACGAGUGUGAGAGUGGAAAGUUCACACUGUGACGGUAGCUUACCAGAAAGGGACGGCUAACUACGUG
This 495-nucleotide ribosomal RNA is filed under the name uncultured bacterium. RNAcentral's name for it is "partial 16S ribosomal RNA". It matches the Rfam family "Bacterial small subunit ribosomal RNA", at positions 28 to 507 of the family's 1533-position model. The record is from RNAcentral.